This 29-nucleotide non-coding RNA is filed under the name Rattus norvegicus (Norway rat). The record is from RNAcentral. Lineage: Eukaryota; Metazoa; Chordata; Mammalia; Rodentia; Muridae.
UACCACUUAAUCAAAGAACCUUCCUCAGA